GGGGGUAUAGUAAAGUGGCAUUACACAGCAUUCGCAUUGCUGGGGCCUGGGUUCGAUUCCCAGUAUCUCCACCA
RNAcentral lists this transfer RNA (74 nucleotides) under Patescibacteria group bacterium. Its description in RNAcentral is "tRNA-Ala". It matches the Rfam family "tRNA". Rfam says of the family: Transfer RNA (tRNA) molecules are approximately 80 nucleotides in length. Their secondary structure includes four short double-helical elements and three loops (D, anti-codon, and T loops). The record is from RNAcentral.